RNAcentral lists this ribosomal RNA (378 nucleotides) under uncultured eukaryote. RNAcentral describes it as "partial 18S ribosomal RNA". It matches the Rfam family "Eukaryotic small subunit ribosomal RNA", at positions 592 to 975 of the family's 1831-position model. The record is from RNAcentral.
CAAUAGCGUAUAUUUAAGUUGUUGCAGUUAAAAAGCUCGUAGUUGGAUUUCGGAUGGGACUUGCCGGUCCGUCGUUUCGAUGUGCACUGGCCAGUCCUAUCUUGUUGUCGGGGACUAGCUCCUGGGCUUCACUGUCCGGGACUAGGAGCUGACGAGGUUACUUUGAGUAAAUUAGAGUGUUCAAAGCAAGCCUACGCUCUGAAUACAUUAGCAUGGAAUAACACGAUAGGACUCUGGCUUAUCUUGUUGGUCUGUGAGACCAGAGUAAUGAUUAAGAGGGACAGUCGGGGGCAUUCGUAUUUCAUUGUCAGAGGUGAAAUUCUUGGAUUUAUGAAAGACGAACUUCUGCGAAAGCGUUUGUCAAGGAUGUUUUCAUUA